Molecule: long non-coding RNA, 976 nt
Organism: Drosophila ananassae
Lineage: Eukaryota; Metazoa; Arthropoda; Insecta; Diptera; Drosophilidae
Exons: 3
Source: RefSeq, a predicted model, not a curated record
AAUUUGCGUAUUCAAAUAUGCAAAAGUAACAUAGACAGUUAUGCUAUAUAUUCACUUGAAUGUAAGGAUGUAGCAAGUGUAUACACACUAUUAAUGUGUUCCUUGUUUCUCGCCUAUUUGUUGAUAUCUUGUCCUCUUGACAUUUUACUUCACUUCAUUUCUGGCAUUGAGAGCGUGUGGUUUAUAAAAUCUUUAUUGUUAUGGGCCCAGACACAACUACAGUGAAUAAGUAAAGCAUACCUAUAUACAUUUAAUCAAUUCGCGAGUUUUUUUUUUCUGGAAACGCUUUGACAAAUUAGCCGCAAAUCACCACGUAGCGGCAGGACGGUGUUACAAGAUAGUACUACUGUUGAGAAACGUUAUUGCUGUAAGAAGUUGCUGGAAAUUGUGGCUGUGAAAUUUGCUUUUGUGUGAUAGAAUCUUACAAUGGAUAAAGGGAAAAGAAAUAUCAAACCGUUUGACGGUGAGAAAUAUUCAAUAUGGAAGUUUAGAAUGAGAGCGUUGCUGGAAGAGCAUGAUCUUCUGAAGGUUAUAGAUGAAACGCAUGAAAAAGUGACUGAUGAGAUAAAAAAGGCAGAACGAAAUGCAAAAGGUUUAAUAAUUGAAUACCUAAGUGAUGCAUUUCUAUCUUUCACUAACAGUGAGAGCACUGCUAAGCAAAUUUUUGCAAAUUUAGAUGCAAUUUACGAGAGAAGAAGCUUGGCAUCACAACUAUCUCUGCGAAAAAAACUUUUAGCCAUGGAGUUAAAAGGAGCAAAAUUAGAUGAUAUGGAUAAAAUUUCCCAUUUUGAUGGAAAUUGAUGGUGUUAUAAAGGCAAUAGAGACUCUAUCAGAAGAUAACUUGACAUUGGCUUUUGUAAAAACACGACUUCUUGACCAAGAAAUAAAGCUUCGGAAUAUUAGUAAGGAUACGAGUACUAAAGUCUUGCAAGCAGUAGGUAACAAGGAGUUCAAAUAUGCAAAAUUUAACAAUAAU